This 355-nucleotide unclassified non-coding RNA is filed under the name uncultured fungus. RNAcentral's name for it is "sequence contains ITS1". The stretch from base 1 to 106 matches the Rfam family "5.8S ribosomal RNA", at positions 50 to 154 of the family's 154-position model. The record is from RNAcentral. Lineage: Eukaryota; Fungi.
GAACUGCGAUACGUCAUGUGAAUUGCAGGUUCCAGUGAAUCAUCAAAUCUUUGAACGCAAAUGGCACCUCAGAGCAAUUCUCUGGGGUAUGCCUGGUUGAGUAAUCUUUAAACAAAAUUGUUCUUAAUCUUUGAUUGGGAGCAGAGUGUGAGGGUCAGAAGCGAUUCUGUCCCUUGAAAUGCAGGCUUGAAGGGCAGCGUGUCUGUUUCAUUCAAAUGAUCAAGUAUUUAUACAUUUUCUUUUGAGUGUCUCAUCCAUCUGUUCUCCUAGCUCUUGUAGCUUGCUACAAACUGUGGCCUUACCGUCACAAAACAAAAAAGUUCUCAACUCAGGUAGGAUUACCCCCUGAACUUAA